Molecule: ribosomal RNA, 477 nt
Filed under: Candidatus Scalindua brodae
Lineage: Bacteria; Pseudomonadati; Planctomycetota; Candidatus Brocadiia; Candidatus Brocadiales; Candidatus Scalinduaceae
Description: bacterial SSU rRNA
Rfam family: Bacterial small subunit ribosomal RNA
Source: RNAcentral
UUCGCAAUGCCCGAAAGGGUGACGAAGCGACGCCGCGUGGGUGAGGAAGGCCUUCGGGUUGUAAAGCCCUGUCAGGAGUUAAGAAAUGUAGAUUCGCUAAUAUCGGGUCUAUUUGACAAAGGCUCCAAAGGAAGCCACGGCUAACUCUGUCCCAGCAGCCGCGGUAAUACAGAGGUGGCAAGCGUUGUUCGGAAUUAUUGGGCGUAAAGAGCACGUAGGUGGAUUUGUAAGUCAGAUGUGAAAGCCUUCUGUUCAACGGAAGAAUUGCAUCUGAAACUACAAACCUUGAGUGUAGGAGGGGAGAAUGGAACUUCUGGUGGAGCGGUGAAAUGCGUAGAUAUCAGAAGGAACGCCGGCGGCGAAAGCGAUUCUCUGGCCUAUUACUGACACUCAGUGUGCGAAAGCUAGGGGAGCAAACGGGAUUAGAUACCCCGGUAGUCCUAGCCGUAAACGAUGGGCACUAAGUAGAGGGGUUUU